This 489-nucleotide ribosomal RNA is filed under the name uncultured bacterium. RNAcentral describes it as "bacterial SSU rRNA". It matches the Rfam family "Bacterial small subunit ribosomal RNA", at positions 501 to 990 of the family's 1533-position model. The record is from RNAcentral.
CUACGUGCCAGCAGCCGCGGUAAUACGUAGGGCGCGAGCGUUGUCCGGAAUUAUUGGGCGUAAAGAGCUUGUAGGCGGUUUGUCGCGUCUGCUGUGAAAGGCCGGAGCUUAACUCCGUGUAUUGCAGUGGGUACGGGCAGACUAGAGUGCAGUAGGGGAGACUGGAAUUCCUGGUGUAGCGGUGGAAUGCGCAGAUAUCAGGAGGAACACCGAUGGCGAAGGCAGGUCUCUGGGCUGUAACUGACGCUGAGAAGCGAAAGCAUGGGGAGCGAACAGGAUUAGAUACCCUGGUAGUCCAUGCCGUAAACGAUGAUUACUGGGUGUGGGCAUGAAGAGUGUCCGUGCCGAAGCAAAUGCGAUAAGUAAUCCGCCUGGGGAGUACGGCCGCAAGGCUGAAACUCAAAGGAAUUGACGGGGACCCGCACAAGCGGUGGAGCAUGUGGUUUAAUUCGACGCAACGCGAGGAACCUUACCAGAUCUUGACAUCCC